This 342-nucleotide ribosomal RNA is filed under the name uncultured Streptococcus sp. RNAcentral's name for it is "bacterial SSU rRNA". It matches the Rfam family "Bacterial small subunit ribosomal RNA", at positions 1040 to 1382 of the family's 1533-position model. Lineage: Bacteria; Bacillati; Bacillota; Bacilli; Lactobacillales; Streptococcaceae. The record is from RNAcentral.
GGUGCUAUGGUUGUCGUCAGCUCGUGUCGUGAGAUGUUGGGUUAAGUCCCGCAACGAGCGCAACCCCUAUUGUUAGUUGCCAUCAUUCAGUUGGGCACUCUAGCGAGACUGCCGGUAAUAAACCGGAGGAAGGUGGGGAUGACGUCAAAUCAUCAUGCCCCUUAUGACCUGGGCUACACACGUGCUACAAUGGUUGGUACAACGAGUUGCGAGUCGGUGACGGCGAGCUAAUCUCUUAAAGCCAAUCUCAGUUCGGAUUGUAGGCUGCAACUCGCCUACAUGAAGUCGGAACCGCUAGUAAUCGCGGAUCAGCACGCCGCGGUGAAUACGUUCCCGGGCCUU